ACGUACAAGCAGUGGGAGCCCCACCACUAAGCCAGUGGUGAACUCCACAUACGCAUCCUUUGCUGAGGAUACGGUUAACGGAGCGAAAGCGACGUUCAACCUCAAAAGAAGCAGAGGGGGCUUAGUGGUGGGGUGACUGCGUACCUUUUGUAUAAUGGGUCAGCGACUUAUAUUCUGUAGCAAGGUUAACCGAAUAGGGGAGCCGGAGGGAAACCGAGUCUUAAUUGGGCGUUAAGUUGCAGGGUAUAGACCCGAAACCCGGUGAUCUAGCCAUGGGCAGGUUGAAGGUUGGGUAACACUAACUGGAGGACCGAACCGACUAAUGUUGAAAAAUUAGCGGAUGACCUGUGGCUGGGGGUGAAAGGCCAAUCAAACCGGGAGAUAGCUGGUUCUCCCCGAAAGCUAUUUAGGUAGCGCCUCGUGAAUUCAUCUCCGGGGGUAGAGCACUGUUUCGGCUAGGGGGCCAUCCCGGCUUACCAACCCGAUGCAAACUGCGAAUACCGGAGAAUGUUAUCACGGGAGACACACGGCGGGUGCUAACGUCCGUCGUGAAGAGGGAAACAACCCAGACCGCCAGCUAAGGUCCCAAAGUCAUGGUUAAGUGGGAAACGAUGUGGGAAGGCCCAGACAGCCAGGAUGUUGGCUUAGAAGCAGCCAUCAUUUAAAGAAAGCGUAAUAGCUCACUGGUCGAGUCGGCCUGCGCGGAAGAUGUAACGGGGCUAAACCAUGCACCGAAGCUGCGGCAGCGACGCUGAUGCGUUGUUGGGUAGGGGAGCGUUCUGUAAGCCUGUGAAGGUGGCCUGUGAGGGUUGCUGGAGGUAUCAGAAGUGCGAAUGCUGACAUAAGUAACGAUAAAGCGGGUGAAAAGCCCGCUCGCCGGAAGACCAAGGGUUCCUGUCCAACGUUAAUCGGGGCAGGGUGAGUCGACCCCUAAGGCGAGGCCGAAAGGCGUAGUCGAUGGGAAACGGGUUAAUAUUCCCGUACUUGGUGUUACUGCGAAGGGGGGACGGAGAAGGCUAUGUUGGCCGGGCGACGGUUGUCCCGGUUUAAGCGUGUAGGUGUGUGUUCCAGGUAAAUCCGGUUCACUUUAACACUGAGGCGUGAUGACGAGGCACUACGGUGCUGAAGCAACAAAUGCCCUGCUUCCAGGAAAAGCCUCUAAGCAUCAGGUAACAUCAAAUCGUACCCCAAACCGACACAGGUGGUCAGGUAGAGAAUACCAAGGCGCUUGAGAGAACUCGGGUGAAGGAACUAGGCAAAAUGGUGCCGUAACUUCGGGAGAAGGCACGCUGACACGUAGGUGAAGUGAUUUACUCAUGGAGCUGAAGUCAGUCGAAGAUACCAGCUGGCUGCAACUGUUUAUUAAAAACACAGCACUGUGCAAACACGAAAGUGGACGUAUACGGUGUGACGCCUGCCCGGUGCCGGAAGGUUAAUUGAUGGGGUCAGCGCAAGCGAAGCUCCUGAUCGAAGCCCCGGUAAACGGCGGCCGUAACUAUAACGGUCCUAAGGUAGCGAAAUUCCUUGUCGGGUAAGUUCCGACCUGCACGAAUGGCGUAAUGAUGGCCAGGCUGUCUCCACCCGAGACUCAGUGAAAUUGAACUCGCUGUGAAGAUGCAGUGUACCCGCGGCAAGACGGAAAGACCCCGUGAACCUUUACUAUAGCUUGACACUGAACAUUGAGCCUUGAUGUGUAGGAUAGGUGGGAGGCUUUGAAGUGUGGACGCCAGUCUGCAUGGAGCCGGCCUUGAAAUACCACCCUUUAAUGUUUGAUGUUCUAACGUGGACCCGUGAUCCGGGUUGCGGACAGUGUCUGGUGGGUAGUUUGACUGGGGCGGUCUCCUCCUAAAGAGUAACGGAGGAGCACGAAGGUUGGCUAAUCCUGGUCGGACAUCAGGAGGUUAGUGCAAUGGCAUAAGCCAGCUUGACUGCGAGCGUGACGGCGCGAGCAGGUGCGAAAGCAGGUCAUAGUGAUCCGGUGGUUCUGAAUGGAAGGGCCAUCGCUCAACGGAUAAAAGGUACUCCGGGGAUAACAGGCUGAUACCGCCCAAGAGUUCAUAUCGACGGCGGUGUUUGGCACCUCGAUGUCGGCUCAUCACAUCCUGGGGCUGAAGUAGGUCCCAAGGGUAUGGCUGUUCGCCAUUUAAAGUGGUACGCGAGCUGGGUUUAGAACGUCGUGAGACAGUUCGGUCCCUAUCUGCCGUGGGCGCUGGAGAACUGAGGGGGGCUGCUCCUAGUACGAGAGGACCGGAGUGGACGCAUCACUGGUGUUCGGGUUGUCAUGCCAAUGGCACUGCCCGGUAGCUAAAUGCGGAAGAGAUAAGUGCUGAAAGCAUCUAAGCACGAAACUUGCCCCGAGAUGAGUUCUCCCUGAGACUUAGAGUCUCCUGAAGGAACGUUGAAGACGACGACGUUGAUAGGCCGGGUGUGUAAGCGCAGCGAUGCGUUGAGCUAACCGG
RNAcentral lists this ribosomal RNA (2459 nucleotides) under Salmonella enterica subsp. enterica serovar Schwarzengrund. RNAcentral's name for it is "partial 23S ribosomal RNA". It matches the Rfam family "Bacterial large subunit ribosomal RNA", at positions 562 to 2898 of the family's 2925-position model. The record is from RNAcentral. Lineage: Bacteria; Pseudomonadati; Pseudomonadota; Gammaproteobacteria; Enterobacterales; Enterobacteriaceae.